Molecule: long non-coding RNA, 229 nt
Filed under: Bos taurus (domestic cattle)
Lineage: Eukaryota; Metazoa; Chordata; Mammalia; Artiodactyla; Bovidae
Description: long non-coding RNA NONBTAT006384
Source: RNAcentral
CAUCUUAAUAGUUUUAUUUUAAAAUGAUAAUGACAUACUUACUAUUAACAUAUACAGCAUCAAAUGCUCUAAUAAAAAGUCUAGAACCUGAAUAACUUCCUGUAUAGUAAUAACUGUCUUUGCUUUCUGGUAUGACAUUUAUUCGGAGUCUGGCAAGGAAGCGUGAAGAUGGCAGUGGGAAAAUAAGGCUGGCUCUUCCUGAAACACAGGAAAACUGCUAAAAUGAAGC